ACCUUGAUGGUGCAAUGGUAUCACGCGUCCCCGGUACGGAUGAAACGCGGGUUCGACUCCCGCCUGAGGCC
Molecule: non-coding RNA, 71 nt
Organism: Parelaphostrongylus tenuis
Lineage: Eukaryota; Metazoa; Nematoda; Chromadorea; Rhabditida; Metastrongylidae
Source: the annotation of a GenBank genome assembly